RNAcentral lists this ribosomal RNA (424 nucleotides) under Parisotoma aff. notabilis L1. Its description in RNAcentral is "partial 28S ribosomal RNA". The record is from RNAcentral. Lineage: Eukaryota; Metazoa; Arthropoda; Collembola; Entomobryomorpha; Isotomidae.
GGGAAAGUUGAAAAGAACUUUGAAGAGAGAGUUCAAUAGUACGUGAAACCUCUCGGGGGUAAGCGGGCAGAACUUGCAAGUAUUGGCUGGGAAUAUUCAGGCUUAAUGUUGGCGACUGAGAGUGUAUUAUAAAGUUGUCCUUUUGGGGAUUGGCUGAUGUGUGCUCUUUGAUUUGUUGACGAUGCGCCGCAUUUAUUUCCGUCAUCGGGUUGCAUGUGACUGAGCCUGUAGUUUAGGUGCUGAGAUCCUGCGAAGCCUUGUUGUUUCGAGUCUUUGGUUUCCGACUACGGCUGCGGUCAUUAUAUCUUUUACUGGACAGGCGUUUAGGCGCGGUCAAUGGUUUGUACGAGUUGUGUGCAUGUUGUAUGUGGACGGGUAACCGUAGCAUACGAUAUGAGGCUGAUUGUCGGUAUGAGCUAAUUUG